GUUGCAUGACUUGAUUAUGAAAGAUUUAUCGCUUAUGGAUGGACUCGCGUCAGAUUAGGUAGUUGGUGAGGUAACGGCUCACCAAGUCAACGAUCUGUAGCCGAACUGAGAGGUUGAUCGGCCGCAUUGGGACUGAGACACGGCCCAGACUCCUACGGGAGGCAGCAGUGGGGAAUAUUGCGCAAUGGGGGCAACCCUGACGCAGCAACGCCGCGUGCAGGAAGAAGGUCUUCGGAUUGUAAACUGUUGUCGCAAGGGAAGAAGACAGUGACGGUACCUUGUGAGAAAGUCACGGCUAACUACGUGCCAGCAGCCGCGGUAAUACGUAGGUGACAAGCGUUGUCCGGAUUUACUGGGUGUAAAGGGCGCGUAGGCGGACUGUCAAGUCAGUCGUGAAAUACCGGGGCUUAACCCCGGGGCUGCGAUUGAAACUGACAGCCUUGAGUAUCGGAGAGGAAAGCGGAAUUCCUAGUGUAGCGGUGAAAUGCGUAGAUAUUAGGAGGAACACCAGUGGCGAAGGCGGCUUUCUGGACGACAACUGACGCUGAGGCGCGAAAGUGUGGGGAGCAAACAGGAUUAGAUACCCUGGUAGUCCACACCGU
This 602-nucleotide ribosomal RNA is filed under the name uncultured bacterium. RNAcentral describes it as "bacterial SSU rRNA". It matches the Rfam family "Bacterial small subunit ribosomal RNA", at positions 185 to 803 of the family's 1533-position model. The record is from RNAcentral.